CCCUUAGAUGUUCUGGGCCGCACGCGCGCUACACUGACGAUGGCAACGAGUUUUUCCUUCGCCGAAAGGUGUGGGUAAUCUUUUGAAACAUCGUCGUGCUGGGGAUAGAUCAUUGCAAUUUUUGAUCUUGAACGAGGAAUUCCUAGUAAGCGCGAGUCAUCAGCUCGCGUUGAUUACGUCCCUGCCCUUUGUACACACCGCCCGUCGCUACUACCGAUUGAAUGGUUUAGUGAGGACUCCUGAUUGGCGCCGCCGCCCCGGCAACGGAGCAGCGGACUGCCGAAAAGUUGUUCAAACUUGAUCAUUUAGAGGAAGUAAAAGUCGUAACAA
Molecule: ribosomal RNA, 330 nt
Filed under: uncultured eukaryote
Lineage: Eukaryota
Description: partial 18S ribosomal RNA
Rfam family: Eukaryotic small subunit ribosomal RNA
Source: RNAcentral